RNAcentral lists this ribosomal RNA (505 nucleotides) under uncultured bacterium. Its description in RNAcentral is "bacterial SSU rRNA". It matches the Rfam family "Bacterial small subunit ribosomal RNA", at positions 27 to 518 of the family's 1533-position model. The record is from RNAcentral.
GGACGAACGCUGGCGGCGUGCCUAACACAUGCAAGUCGAGCGGGGACAUGCGACGGAUGAGAAGUUUCGGAUGGAUCUGAAGAUGUAUGUUCUAGCGGCGGACGGGUGAGUAACGCGUGAGCAACCUGUCCUUCGACAGGGGGAUAACACAGCGAAAAGUUGUACUAAUACCGCAUAAGACCACAACGGGACAUCCCGCGGGGGUCAAAGGAGCAAUCCGGUGAAGGGUGGGCUCGCGUCCGAUUAGAUAGUUGGUGAGGUAACGGCCCACCAAGUCAACGAUCGGUAGCCGACCUGAGAGGUGAUCGGCCACAUUGGGACUGAGACACGGCCCAAACUCCUACGGGAGGCAGCAGUGGGGAAUAUUGGGCCAAUGGGGGGAACCCUGACCCAGCAACGCCGCGUGAGGGAAGAAGGUUUUCGGAUCGUAAACCUCUGUCCUUGGUGAAGAGGAAGAGACGGUAGCCAAGGAGGAAGCCCCGGCUAACUACGUGCCAGCCGCCGC